UGGUGGGUAGUUUGACUGGGGCGGUCUCCUCCUAAAGAGUAACGGAGGAGCACGAAGGUUGGCUAAUCCUGGUCGGACAUCAGGAGGUUAGUGCAAUGGCAUAAGCCAGCUUGACUGCGAGCGUGACGGCGCGAGCAGGUGCGAAAGCAGGUCAUAGUGAUCCGGUGGUUCUGAAUGGAAGGGCCAUCGCUCAACGGAUAAAAGGUACUCCGGGGAUAACAGGCUGAUACCGCCCAAGAGUUCAUAUCGACGGCGGUGUUUGGCACCUCGAUGUCGGCUCAUCACAUCCUGGGGCUGAAGUAGGUCCCAAGGGUAUGGCUGUUCGCCAUUUAAAGUGGUACGCGAGCUGGGUUUAGAACGUCGUGAGACAGUUCGGUCCCUAUCUGCCGUGGGCGCUGGAGAACUGAGGGGGGCUGCUCCUAGUACGAGAGGACCGGAGUGGACGCAUCACUGGUGUUCGGGUUGUCAUGCCAAUGGCACUGCCCGGUAGCUAAAUGCGGAAGAGAUAAGUGCUGAAAGCAUCUAAGCACGAAACUUGCCCCGAGAUGAGUUCUCCCUGACUCCUUGAGAGUCCUGAAGGAACGUUGAAGACGACGACGUUGAUAGGCCGGGUGUGUAAGCGCAGCGAUGCGUUGAGCUAACCGGUACUAAUGAACCGUGAGGCUUAACCUUACAACGC
This 679-nucleotide ribosomal RNA is filed under the name Escherichia coli. Its description in RNAcentral is "partial 23S ribosomal RNA". It matches the Rfam family "Bacterial large subunit ribosomal RNA", at positions 2259 to 2925 of the family's 2925-position model. The record is from RNAcentral. Lineage: Bacteria; Pseudomonadati; Pseudomonadota; Gammaproteobacteria; Enterobacterales; Enterobacteriaceae.